AGCAGCCGCGGUAAUUCCAGCUCCAAUAGCGUAUAUUAAAGUUGUUGCAGUUAAAAAGCUCGUAGUUGAAUUUCGAGACCGGUUUACUGGUCGUGCUUUUGUACGUACUGGUAUUAUUGGUUUCUCCUUUCUGACGAAUCAUAAUGCCAUUAAUUUGGUGUUUUGGGGAAUCAGGACUGUUACUUUGAAAAAAUUAGAGUGUUUAAAGCAGGCUCACGCUUGAAUACAUUAGCAUGGAAUAACGAAAUAGGACGUUUGAUUUUAUUUUGUUGGUUUCUAGGAUCGACGUAAUGAUUAAUAGGGAUAGUUGGGGGCAUUAGUAUUCAAUUGUCAGAGGUGAAAUUUUUGGAUUUAUUGAAUUUGCCAAGGAUGUUUUCAUUAAUCAAGAACGAAAGUUAGGGGAUCGAAGACGAUCAGAUACCGUCGUAGUCUUAACCAUAAACUAUGCCGACUAGGGAUCGGAUGAUGUUAAUUUUUUAAUGACUCA
This 487-nucleotide ribosomal RNA is filed under the name uncultured Glomeromycotina. Its description in RNAcentral is "SSU rRNA". It matches the Rfam family "Eukaryotic small subunit ribosomal RNA", at positions 569 to 1078 of the family's 1831-position model. The record is from RNAcentral. Lineage: Eukaryota; Fungi; Glomeromycota.